This 252-nucleotide ribosomal RNA is filed under the name uncultured bacterium. RNAcentral describes it as "partial 16S ribosomal RNA". It matches the Rfam family "Bacterial small subunit ribosomal RNA", at positions 524 to 776 of the family's 1533-position model. The record is from RNAcentral.
UACGUAGGAGACGAGCGUUGUCCGGAAUACUGGGCGUAAAGCGCGUGUAGGCGGACAGGCAAGUCUGCUGUGAAAGCUCCUGGCUUAACCGGGAGUGGUCGGUGGAAACUGCCCGUCUGGAGGACGGUAGAGGUAGGUAGAAUUCCCGGUGUAGUGGUGAAAUGCGUAGAGAUCGGGAGGAAUACCUGUGGCGAAGGCGGCCUACUGGGCCGGACCUGACGCUGAGACGCGAAGGCGUGGGGAGCGAACGGG